RNAcentral lists this ribosomal RNA (786 nucleotides) under Graphis sp. CBS 132747. Its description in RNAcentral is "mitochondrial SSU rRNA". It matches the Rfam family "Bacterial small subunit ribosomal RNA", at positions 350 to 1175 of the family's 1533-position model. Lineage: Eukaryota; Fungi; Ascomycota; Lecanoromycetes; Ostropales; Graphidaceae. The record is from RNAcentral.
AGCAGUGAGGAAUAUUGGUCAAUAGCCUAACCGGCUGAACCAGCAACUUGGAGGAAUGUACAGGGAAAACUGGCAAAAUGUGAUGUACCUAAUAGUAUUAGUGAUUAAUAUGAAAUUAACUAAGUUAAUUAAAAUUCGAAGUAGAUAUGUGAUUAUGACAAUAUUUGCUUAUUUCUUGACCAAGUCACGUGCCAGCAGUCGCGGUAAUACGUGGUAGAUUAGUGUUAUUCAUCUUAAGUAGGUUUAAAGGGUACCUAGACGGUUAAUUAAGCAUAUUUGUGUACUAAUUAUUAACUAGAGUUUAAUGUAAGAAGGAUUGAGUACGGUGAGUGUAGAGAUAAAAUUCUGUCAUACCACUUAGGAACUGGUAAAGGCGAAGGCAACCUUUUAUGUAAAAACUGACGUUAAGGGACGAAGGCUCGUAUUAAGCAAUAGGAUUAGAGACCCUAGUAUUGUGGGCAGACAAUGAUGAGUGUCAUAUGCAAGAAAAAUUUUUGUGUAUAAAUGAAAGUGUAAGCACUCCACCUCAAGAGUAACGUGGCAACAUGGGAACUGAAAUCAUUAGACCGUUUCUGAAACUCGUAGUGAAGUAUGUUGUUUAAUUUGAUAACCCUCAAAUAACCUUACCACAAUUUGAAUUACUGGUGAAGAUUAACUAGUAACAAGCGUUGCACGGCUGUCUUCAGUCAAUGUUGUGAAACUUUGGUUAGAUCCAUUAAAUUGACGUAAACCCUUGCUUUAUUUGUUAUAAAGCAGUUCGCCGCUAUAUUGGUAGUGAUAUAAGGA